GAUGAAGAACGUAGCGAAAUGCGAUAAGUAAUGUGAAUUGCAGAAUUCAGUGAAUCAUCGAAUCUUUGAACACACAUUGCGCCCCCUGGUAUUCCGGGGGGCAUGCCUGUUCGAGCGUCAUUACAACCCUCAAGCUCUGCUUGGUAUUGGGCCCCGCCAGUUCUGGCGGGCCCUAAAGUCAGUGGCGGUGCCUUCCGGCUCCGAGCGUAGUAAUUCUUCUCGCUCUGGAGACCCGGUUGUGUGCUUGCCAACAACCCCCAAUUUUUUAAGGUUGACCUCGGAUCAGGUAGGGAUACCCGCUGAACUUAAGCAUAUCAAUAAGCGGAGGA
RNAcentral lists this unclassified non-coding RNA (329 nucleotides) under soil metagenome. RNAcentral's name for it is "partial contains 5.8S ribosomal RNA, internal transcribed spacer 2, and large subunit ribosomal RNA". The stretch from base 1 to 120 matches the Rfam family "5.8S ribosomal RNA", at positions 35 to 154 of the family's 154-position model. The record is from RNAcentral.